AGUGAACGCUGGCGGUAGGCCUAACACAUGCAAGUCGAACGGCAGCACAGUAAGAGCUUGCUCUUACGGGUGGCGAGUGGCGGACGGGUGAGGAAUACAUCGGAAUCUACUUUUUCGUGGGGGAUAACGUAGGGAAACUUACGCUAAUACCGCAUACGACCUACGGGUGAAAGCAGGGGAUCUUCGGACCUUGCGCGAUUGAAUGAGCCGAUGUCGGAUUAGCUAGUUGGCGGGGUAAAGGCCCACCAAGGCGACGAUCCGUAGCUGGUCUGAGAGGAUGAUCAGCCACACUGGAACUGAGACACAGUCCAGACUCCUACGGGAGGCAGCAGUGGGGAAUAUUGGACAAUGGGCGCAAGCCUGAUCCAGCCAUACCACGUGGGUGAAGAAGGCCUUCGGGUUGUAAAGCCCUUUUGUUGGGAAAGAAAAGCAGCAGGUUAAUACCCCGCUGUUCUGACGGUACCCAAAGAAUAAGCACCGGCUAACUUCGUG
This 492-nucleotide ribosomal RNA is filed under the name uncultured bacterium. Its description in RNAcentral is "partial 16S ribosomal RNA". It matches the Rfam family "Bacterial small subunit ribosomal RNA", at positions 29 to 507 of the family's 1533-position model. The record is from RNAcentral.